Molecule: ribosomal RNA, 502 nt
Filed under: uncultured bacterium
Lineage: Bacteria
Description: partial 16S ribosomal RNA
Rfam family: Bacterial small subunit ribosomal RNA
Source: RNAcentral
GAUGAACGCUAGCGGCAGGCCUAACACAUGCAAGUCGAGGGGCAGCACAGAAACAGCAAUGUUUUGGUGGCGACCGGCGGACGGGUGCGUAACGCGUAUGCAACCUACCUUUAACAGGGGGAUAACGGAGAGAAAUUUCCACUAAUACCCCAUAACAUCGAUCAAGGCAUCUUGAUUGGUUGAAAACUCCGGUGGUUAAAGAUGGGCAUGCGUUGUAUUAGGGAGUUUGUGAGGUAAUGGCUCACCAAGCCUACGAUAAAUAGGGGGACUGGGAGGUUGGCCCCCAAUCCUGGUACUGAGACACGGACCAGACUCCAACGGGAGGCAGAAGUGAAGAAUAUUGGUCAAUGGGGGCAACCCUGAACCAGCCAUGCCGCGUGCAGGAAGACGGCUCUAUGAGUUGUAAACUGCUUUUAAACAGGGAUAAAGCACAGUAUGUAUACUGUGUUGAAGGUACUGUAAGAAUAAGGAUCGGCUAACUCCGUGCCAGCCGCCGCCGUAA